UACAGAGGGGGCAAGCGUUGUUCGGAAUUACUGGGCGUAAAGGGCGCGUAGGCGGCCGCCUAAGUCAGACGUGAAAUCCCUCGGCUCAACCGGGGAACUGCGUCUGAUACUGGGUGGCUUGAAUCCGGGAGAGGGAUGCGGAAUUCCAGGUGUAGCGGUGAAAUGCGCAGAUAUCAGGAGGAACACCGGUGGCGAAGGCGGUUCUCUGGGCAUGAUCUGACGCUGAGGAGCGAAAGUGUGGGGAGCGAACAGG
RNAcentral lists this ribosomal RNA (253 nucleotides) under uncultured bacterium. Its description in RNAcentral is "partial 16S ribosomal RNA". It matches the Rfam family "Bacterial small subunit ribosomal RNA", at positions 524 to 776 of the family's 1533-position model. The record is from RNAcentral.